This 394-nucleotide small RNA is filed under the name Pan troglodytes (chimpanzee). Its description in RNAcentral is "processed transcript". The record is from RNAcentral. Lineage: Eukaryota; Metazoa; Chordata; Mammalia; Primates; Hominidae.
CUGAAUAGAAAAUAAAAGCUGGUGGGACCCAAGGUCUCCUAGGGAGACAGUAGGAGCCGGGUGCUGCUCCAAAGUCUGGGGGCCCAUUCUAUGCUCUGUUGGUCUCCUGAAGGGACUCAGUGAAUUCUCGGAGGAGACACCUUGCAACACGUUCCUGUGCCAAUCCUGCAGGAAAUCUAGGGGUUUCUCCCUGGACUUGGUUGGCUUUAACCCCUUCUCCUGGCCUCGUGUAUGCCCCAUUUCAGGAGGGAGGACAGCUUCAGUAAAUGCACUAGGAUCCAGAGAGGUCCUGAAAAGGUUGCAUCAGCCCUUUAGCCAUUACCUGCCUCUUGAUGAAGCGUCAGAGCAGGUGUGCAUACACCUGCCAGCACAGAAAAACCUUAACGUAAAGUUG